This 324-nucleotide long non-coding RNA is filed under the name Trifolium pratense (red clover). Its description in RNAcentral is "long non-coding RNA (TPRA_LNC004786)". The record is from RNAcentral. Lineage: Eukaryota; Viridiplantae; Streptophyta; Magnoliopsida; Fabales; Fabaceae.
UUUGAUUUGUUGUUGUUUGCUUGAGUUGAUUCUCUGAAAUAGAUGAUGGUUGAUAGUAUAAUCCUUGAUUAUAAUUGCCGGUAUGAGUACUGCCAAGGUUUUAAAUAAAGGAACGUUACCGCGAAAUCGGCCGUUACAAAACGGUUAUUGGCCGAUUUAACGGUGAGAAAAAAGAUCACAGUGAAACGUUGUUACAUAACACCGUUAUUACGACCUCGAAACAUGCUGUUACAGCCGUAAAACACUUUACAGAUGUGAAAACUUUAGAUUUGUUCCUUUUGUUAAUUUGGGUGUUGUUCUAGAAGUGUAAUAGAGAUAAUAUGA